AUAGUUAGGCAGGGGAGCUGGAAAAGGCCGGCUGAGAUUUAGACCUGAUGAAGUCUAAGACCCUUUGAACCUGAUCUGGAUAAUCCCAGCGUAGGUGAGCAAUACUCUGUAACA
Regulatory RNA element from Desulfitobacterium metallireducens DSM 15288, 114 nucleotides. It matches the Rfam family "TPP riboswitch aptamer (THI element)". From Rfam's summary of the family: Vitamin B(1) in its active form thiamin pyrophosphate (TPP) is an essential coenzyme that is synthesised by coupling of pyrimidine and thiazole moieties in bacteria. The previously detected thiamin-regulatory element, thi box was extended, resulting in a new, highly conserved RNA secondary structure, the THI element, which is widely distributed in eubacteria and also occurs in some archaea. NCBI's taxonomy places the organism in Bacteria, Bacillati, Bacillota, Clostridia, Eubacteriales, Desulfitobacteriaceae. The record is from Rfam.